This 367-nucleotide ribosomal RNA is filed under the name uncultured alga. RNAcentral's name for it is "bacterial LSU rRNA". It matches the Rfam family "Bacterial large subunit ribosomal RNA", at positions 2098 to 2465 of the family's 2925-position model. The record is from RNAcentral.
GCUUGACUGUAUCCUGGAAUUGGGUUCGGCUUUUCUUGCGCAGCCUAGGUGGGAGGCAUUGAAGAUUUCUUUCCGGGGAAGUUGGAGCCAUCAGUGAGAGACCACUCUGGAGAGGCUAGAAUCCUAAUGGUGAUCCUUGAAUCAGGAUACUUGACAGUUUCAGGUGGCAGUUUGUCUGGGCGGAAACCUCAUAAAAGGUAACUGAGGCUGCGCAAAGGUUCCCUCAGGCUGGACGGAAAUCAGACAUACGAGUGUAAAGGCAAAAGGAGCUUGACUGCAAGAGUGACAACUCAAGCAGGGACGAAAGUCGGCCUUAGUGAUCCGACGGCACUGCAUGGAAGGGCCGUCGCUCAACGGAUAAAAGUUA